GUGGGGAAUAUUGGACAAUGGGGGGAACCCUGAUCCAGCCAUGCCGCGUGUGUGAAGAAGGCCUUUUGGUUGUAAAGCACUUUAAGCGAGGAGGAGGCUACCGAGAUUAAUACUCUUGGAUAGUGGACGUUACUCGCAGAAUAAGCACCGGCUAACUCUGUGCCAGCAGCCGCGGUAAUACAGAGGGUGCAAGCGUUAAUCGGAUUUACUGGGCGUACAGCGCGCGUAGGUGGCCAAUUAAGUCAAAUGUGAAAUCCCCGAGCUUAACUUGGGAAUUGCAUUCGAUACUGGUUGGCUAGAGUAUGGGAGAGGAUGGUAGAAUUCCAGGUGGAGCGGUGAAAUGCGUAGAGAUCUGGAGGAAUACCGAUGGCGAAGGCAGCCAUCUGGCCUAAUACUGACACUGAGGUGCGAAAGCAUGGGGAGCAAACAGGAUUAGAAACCCCUGUAGUCC
This 451-nucleotide ribosomal RNA is filed under the name uncultured bacterium. RNAcentral's name for it is "bacterial SSU rRNA". It matches the Rfam family "Bacterial small subunit ribosomal RNA", at positions 354 to 796 of the family's 1533-position model. The record is from RNAcentral.